AAUAGAUACCUGGGUAGUCCACGCCGUAAACGAUGAGUGCUAAGUGUUAGGGGGUUUCCGCCCCUUAGUGCUGCAGCUAACGCAUUAAGCACUCCGCCUGGGGAGUACGGUCGCAAGACUGAAACUCAAAGGAAUUGACGGGGGCCCGCACAAGCGGUGGAGCAUGUGGUUUAAUUCGAAGCAACGCGAAGAACCUUACCAGGUCUUGACAUCCCAUUGACCACUAUGGAGACAUAGUUUUCCCUUCGGGGACAACGGUGACAGGUGGUGCAUGGUUGUCGUCAGCUCGUGUCGUGAGAUGUUGGGUUAAGUCCCGCAACGAGCGCAACCCUUGUUCUUAGUUGCCAUCAUUUAGUUGGGCACUCUAAGGAGACUGCCGGUGACAAACCGGAGGAAGGUGGGGAUGACGUCAAAUCAUCAUGCCCCUUAUGACCUGGGCUACACACGUGCUACAAUGGACGGUACAAACGGUUGCCAACCCGCGAGGGGGAGCUAAUCCGAUAAAACCGUUCUCAGUUCGGAUUGUAGGCUGCAACUCGCCUACA
Molecule: ribosomal RNA, 545 nt
Filed under: uncultured bacterium
Lineage: Bacteria
Description: bacterial SSU rRNA
Rfam family: Bacterial small subunit ribosomal RNA
Source: RNAcentral